Molecule: ribosomal RNA, 253 nt
Filed under: uncultured bacterium
Lineage: Bacteria
Description: partial 16S ribosomal RNA
Rfam family: Bacterial small subunit ribosomal RNA
Source: RNAcentral
UACGGAGGGUGCAAGCGUUACCCGGAAUUACUGGGCGUAAAGGGCUCGUAGGCGGCCAACUAAGUCGGACGUGAAAUCCCCAGGCUCAACCUGGGAACUGCGUCCGAUACUGGAUGGCUUGAAUCCGGGAGAGGGAUGCAGAAUUCCAGGUGUAGCGGUGAAAUGCGUAGAUAUCUGGAGGAACACCGGUGGCGAAGGCGGCAUCCUGGACCGGCAUUGACGCUGAGGAGCGAAAGCCAGGGGAGCAAACGGG